CUGACAACCAUGGAAACUCCAGCAGAAGAAAGUGAAUCUUUCUUACCAAGCAAAGCUCUGAGAAUUCCAGUCGGAAUCUCUGCCGCCGCCAAGAUACUUGCCCGUCCCUUCACUUCAGACUUCACUUCACACGAAAGUCAUUCAUCUGAAGGUGACCUGAGGCCAGGUGGUGCUUAUUCCGGCGAAUUCCCUCCCAUUCGGUGAGUUUUGAUGUGUUUCUUAAAACCCGACACAAACUUCCAAUACACGCAGCGAGAAUCAGUGCCUGGAGGCGAAGAAAUGUAAAGCUUCCCAAACACAGGAAAGGGACCGACUGCCAUUAUUGGGGUGACAAGAAUGCGGGUGCUCUUGAGGUUUUCUUAGGAAUUCUAAUCAAGAACCAAUGGACUAUCAAGAUCGAUCAAUGGAAAUUCGCGCCCACAAACACUCGGGAGGUGAAGACUCAUCAGACGGAUAUCAUGGAGCAACGCCCACGAAAACUCGGGAAGCUCAAUGAAAUACUGAGAAGCUACAUCAACAUCUUCUUGUUAGAACAUUGUUAAAGUAUAGCGGUCAUCAUUGUAUUCUGGAAUUAUCAUUUAUGAUGAGGAUUAUCAUGAAUGAUAAAACGGGGGAAUGUUAAUAUUGGCUAAAUUAAAGACACCAUAAAAUGGAGGAUCCCUGCACUUGUCAGAAUUGCUU
Amblyraja radiata (thorny skate) is the source of this 681-nucleotide long non-coding RNA. RefSeq lists it as uncharacterized. Lineage: Eukaryota; Metazoa; Chordata; Chondrichthyes; Rajiformes; Rajidae. The record is from RefSeq and is a predicted model, not a curated record. The transcript is spliced from 3 exons.